AGUGAACGCUGGCGGUAGGCCUAACACAUGCAAGUCGAACGGCAGCACAGGAGAGCUUGCUCUCUGGGUGGCGAGUGGCGGACGGGUGAGGAAUACAUCGGAAUCUACUCUGUCGUGGGGGAUAACGUAGGGAAACUUACGCUAAUACCGCAUACGACCUACGGGUGAAAGCAGGGGACCUUCGGGCCUUGCGCGAUUGAAUGAGCCGAUGUCGGAUUAGCUAGUUGGCGGGGUAAAGGCCCACCAAGGCGACGAUCCGUAGCUGGUCUGAGAGGAUGAUCAGCCACACUGGAACUGAGACAAGGUCCAGACGCCUACGGGAGGCAGCAGUGGGGAAUAUUGGACACUGGGCGCAAGCCUGAUCCAGCCAUACCGCGUGGGUGAAGAAGGCCUUCGGGUUGUAAAGCCCUUUUGUUGGGAAAGAAAUCCAGCUGGCUAAUACCCGGUUGGGAUGACGGUACCCAAAGAAUAAGCACCGGCUAACUUCGUGCCAGCCGCCGCAGUAA
RNAcentral lists this ribosomal RNA (506 nucleotides) under uncultured bacterium. RNAcentral describes it as "partial 16S ribosomal RNA". It matches the Rfam family "Bacterial small subunit ribosomal RNA", at positions 29 to 523 of the family's 1533-position model. The record is from RNAcentral.